AGUGAACGCUGGCGGUAGGCCUAACACAUGCAAGUCGAACGGCAGCUCAGUAAGAGCUUGCUCUUACGGGUGGCGAGUGGCGGACGGGUGAGGAAUACAUCGGAAUCUACUUUUUCGUGGGGGAUAACGUAGGGGAACUUACGCUAAUACCGCAGACGACCUACGGGUGAAAGCAGUGGAUCUUCGGACCUUGCGCGAUUGAAUGCGCCGAUGUCGGAUUAGCUGGUUGGCGGGGUAAAGGCCAACCAAGGCGACGAUCCGUAGCUGGUCUGAGAGGAUGAUCAGCCACACUGGAACGGAGACACGGACCAGACUCCUACGGGAGGCAGCAGUGGGGAAUAUUGGACAAUAGGCGCAAGCCUGGUCCAGCCAUACCGCGUGGGUGAAGAAGGCCUUCGGGUUGUAAAGCCCUUUUGUUGGGAAAGAAAAGCAGCAGGUUAAUACCCCGCUGUUCUGACGGUACCCAAAGAAUAAGCACCGGCUAACUUCGUG
This 492-nucleotide ribosomal RNA is filed under the name uncultured bacterium. RNAcentral's name for it is "partial 16S ribosomal RNA". It matches the Rfam family "Bacterial small subunit ribosomal RNA", at positions 29 to 507 of the family's 1533-position model. The record is from RNAcentral.